RNAcentral lists this transfer RNA (74 nucleotides) under Marmota monax (woodchuck). RNAcentral describes it as "tRNA.Asn". It matches the Rfam family "tRNA". Rfam says of the family: Transfer RNA (tRNA) molecules are approximately 80 nucleotides in length. Their secondary structure includes four short double-helical elements and three loops (D, anti-codon, and T loops). Lineage: Eukaryota; Metazoa; Chordata; Mammalia; Rodentia; Sciuridae. The record is from RNAcentral.
GCUGGUGUUCUGCUCAGUGGUAGAGAGCAUGCUUGUUACAUAUGAGGCUUGGGGUUCAACCCUCAGCACCAGAA